GGCCUGCGCGGCCGGCCGGGAGCCCCCGGGCCUCCUGCCUCCUCCGCCGCCGAGGCGCGGGGCCUCUUCCGCGGGGGCGGGGAGGCCCGCCGGCGUCCGAGUCGGAGGAGGAGGAAGCGGAGGCCAGAGUUUCCUCGCCGAGAGAGGCCGUGGUGGGCGGCCGGCGGGGCGCGGCGCGGGUCGGGCGGGCGCGGGCCGGGGGCGCGAGGCGCGGGCAGCGGCCGCCUGUGUGCUCCGGUCGCCGCGCCGCUCGGUGUUGAUUCCUCCCCAGCUGCUGUCCCUAAUGGAGUCCGGCGCGCGCGUCACCGGAAAUGCCUGCACUGCGCUCGCCCACUUCCGGCGGCAGGUGCGGCGCUGUCAGCGUGUGCGGCCGCCCUGUCCUCCCCGCGGGCCUCGGCUUCGCCCGGCCCGGGUUCUGGUGGGUCCCUGCCCGGCCGCCCUGCCUGGCCGUCUCCCGGUUCCGGCCCGCCCUGGGUCCGGCCCGGCCUGACCCCGAGGGGCACGCCCGCUCCUGGUUCCGGCCCGCGCAGGUUCCGCCCGAGGCCGGGUCGCCCGCGGGUCCGCCCUGAGAUGAGGCCGCGGCCUGCGUGGGUCCGGGCCGCCCGGGGUCGCGGCUCGCGGACCCCGACCCGCGUCGGCAGCCACGGCCUGUUCCGACCUGGCCUCGAAACUUCGGGCGACCUGUGACCGACUUGGGUAACCUGGCCUGGUCUUACUAGAAACCUGAAUUUCUGAAGCCCACGCGCACACACAUCCCUGUCUGUAUUCAGUCCCACACUGCCUGCCUGUUGUCUGCACUCUGGGUCUUUCUAGAGCCAGGUUUCAGGACCACUUGCACAGUAUUAGGGAGACAGCCUGGAGAUCAUCUGUCUGUCCAUCUAUCCCUGCGGAUCUGAGUGUCCACACCCUGUGCGCCUGGGCCAGUCAGUGUGCAGAUGUGGCUAAGGAUGUCACCAUCACACACAGGAAACUACCUGCUGGGGCUGUUUCUGAACUCUUCCAUGAGCCUGUCCCUGUCCCUUUAGGCACCAUCUGGCAAAGCUUGUGCUAGUACCAUGCUGGCUCAGUUGCUGACACUUGCAGUGUAAGCCUUGCAACUUUCCUUUUUUUUAGAAGAUCAUAUUGGUUUUUUUGCUGGCCCUUUGUGUUUCAUGUAAAAUAUAGAGCCAUUUUGCUAAUUUCCACAAAAAUUGCUGAGAUUUGAUUGGAAUCACAAUAAAUCUUAGACCAGUUUGAGAACCGAACCUGUACACUAGUGCAUUUUUGGGUCUGGGAAUACAGCAUGUUUCCCUGCUCCUCCAGCCUUCUUUAAUUUCUCCUAGAAUAUAUCGUGGCUUUCUGUGUAGAAGUCUCACACAUCUUUUAUUAGAUUUAUGCCUGGGCAUUGGAUGUUUUUUUGAUCCUGACGUAAACAGUGUUGUGUUUAAGUUAUUUUCCUCUCCCUGUUCUGCUGCUGGGAUGAUUCGACAGGCCCUUCACUGACAGAGGUCAUGUGAAAGCCCACGUCAGGAUGAGCUCUACUUUUGGAUUUAGUGUGUUUUACCAGCCUAUAUUUGCCUUCCACUUCCAAAUAGCGAUACAGCUGGCGUCUGUUUUUUUCAGAGUGUCUGGCCCCAACCUCUCCCCCGGCACAGCUGGAAAGAGGGACUCCUGAAGUCCGGCUGGAAGGAGGCCCCAAGCUGAACUGGACCUCAGGGAGCACAGCUGGCUGGACCCACUUGACCGUGUAGCAAAGCCAGGGAGGAGCAGCGGCCUCACUGCCGUGGACUCCGGACUUUUGGACACUGGUCUCAUGAGGGUCAGGGGGUCAAGUAAAAGUGAGAAGAGCUGUAGCUGUCGGACACUAAUUUCAGAGAACACGGCACAGCUGUGCGGCUUUGCCGCCCUGUAGUUUCGUGUUAUGAAGACAGGGCAUUGUCCUCACCUUGUAAGGGGGCUCCUGCAGCUUUGGGGCCUUGGCAGGGCAGCGGGGACCACAGGGCUGGUGGGUGGUCAGGGGGGUCGGCUUGUAGUUAGUGCUGGCAUUUUCUAGCUAAUUUAAACAUUAACUCAUGUCAUCAGCAGAAUUACCCCCACGAGGGUAGGGUAGAUCUCCUGCCACUUCCUUGAUGAGGGUAGAACAGGCUCAGAGAGGCCUACAGCUUGCCCAGGCUCACACAGCUCGCAGUGACAAGGGCAGGGUCCAGGCCCUGCUUUACACCAGGUAGCCUGUCCUGCGGGCUGGGGGCCCUGCGGGUCUCUGGCCCCAUCGUGGCUGUGCUUGCCCUCAGAGCCCAUGAGGUCAGAAGUGUCGGGGGUGGCAGAGGGCUGCAGCUAAAUUAGCAGUUAAAGUUGAGCAGAGGGGGCACAGGUGAGGGGACUGGAACCUGAUCUUUAGAUCUGAUUUACAGCCCAGGAAACUAAGUCCACUGAUUGUUCAGUGUGAUCACCUUAAAAUUCCCCUGGAGUAAGUAGGAUCCUGCAUUCUGGUCGGCUCCUCCCCAGGCAACAGGCACAGCUAUAUUUAGCGCCAUCCAUCCGGAGCUGCUGUGGUGGCCGGGCAGCGUGUGGCUCCAGGAGUGGCUGCCACGCACCCUGGUGGUGGAGAGGGACUGGCGCUCAGGCUGGGUCCGCUGAGCUCAAGGGGGAAGCAGCCGUGUGCAGAGCACGGACGCUGCUCCGGCCACAGAGGCAGGCAGACUCCUCAUGGAGGCCGGCCGCUCCCCCUGAGAGAAACCAGAACCUGCGGUUUCCCUCCCACAGCUCCAAGCCCUACUGACUCUGCCCUCUUAAUAGCUUCCUGAGGCCUCCUUGGCUUCCUCGCUGCAGUUUGUAUCCCUCACAUUUUUUUCACCUGGAUGAGCAACAGCCUCCUAAAUGCUGUGUUCUGUUCUUUAAUUAGUUCCCUUCGCUGUCACCAAAAAUAGCUCCAUAAGGCAGAAAGCCAUUAUGUCACUCCCCUACCAGACCUGUCUCGGCAGCUGUCACGCUGAGGAGCACUCUGACGUCCAGCCCCAGCUGCUCUUGCCCGGCUGCACCAGGUGCUCCGGGCCGCCUCCUUCUGCACCCUCGCCUGCCCUGUGGGGACCCUGACACCUCCACUCAGGCUACACCUCAGUGCACCAGGCCGAACUCUGAGCCAAGGCCCUGGAGGGAGACAGCACAUCCUCGCUCAGCUCACUGCAGCACUGUGCAGACGCCUGCAGCACGGGUCCUUCACCCGUCCAUUCUGUCAGAAUUUUUCAAGCAUCUGCCAUAUGUGAGAAGAUGCUGGGGAGUGUUCUGGGAAUGUGUGGUGAACAAGACACGAAGCCCUGACUUCCGUGGCACUUCCAUUCUUACAAGCCCAUCCAGAGGAGUUUUAAGUUUACAGCGGAAUGGAGUGGAAACUACAAAGUGAUCCUGUGAAGGCCGCCGCCUCCCGCAAGUCCCAGGGCCCUCAUCACCAACGUCCGCACCAGAGCAGCCCGAUUGUCAUCGCCGUGGACCUGCACGGACACAUGGGGGCCACAGGCGGCCUCGAGGUGCGCAGUGAUCCACUCGCUCUACGGCUUUGGAUGAUCACCCAGCACGAUAGCAUCGAACUGCCGUAAAGAUCCUCCUGUCGUGCUUAGCCUGAGACAAAGUGGCUGUGUGGCUGGGCAUCGCCACCAACGCUGAAGCUGUGCAGCUCCCGCACACCCUGCAAACACUGGAGACGGGAGCUGGCGCUGUACCUGCACCCCAUCUGCCCUGGUGGACCAGAAUCCCAUAACCUCGGAUAUGUAAUUUUCAUUUUUCAUUAAGUUGAAAUAAAUGCACUAGUUAAAAUAAGUUAAUUACUUUCAGACAUCUUGUCUUAGUGACUUUCUCAUGUUUGAGACACGAUACCAGAUACCCACAGCU
This 3864-nucleotide long non-coding RNA is filed under the name Heterocephalus glaber (naked mole-rat). Its description in RNAcentral is "lncRNA (ENSHGLG00000032689.1)". Lineage: Eukaryota; Metazoa; Chordata; Mammalia; Rodentia; Bathyergidae. The record is from RNAcentral.